This 714-nucleotide ribosomal RNA is filed under the name uncultured bacterium. Its description in RNAcentral is "bacterial SSU rRNA". It matches the Rfam family "Bacterial small subunit ribosomal RNA", at positions 93 to 792 of the family's 1533-position model. The record is from RNAcentral.
GAGUGGCGGACGGGUGAGUAACACGUAGGUAACCCGCCUAGAAGCGGGGGACAACAUUUGGAAACAGAUGCUAAUACCGCAUAACAGCGUUGUUCGCAUGAACAACGCUUAAAAGAUGGCUUCUCGCUAUCACUUCUGGAUGGACCUGCGGUGCAUUAGCUUGUUGGUGGGGUAACGGCCUACCAAGGCGAUGAUGCAUAGCCGAGUUGAGGGACUGAUCGGCCACAAUGGGACUGAGACACGGCCCAUACUCCUACGGGAGGCAGCAGUAGGGAAUCUUCCACAAUGGGCGCAAGCCUGAUGGAGCAACACCGCGUGAGUGAAGAAGGGUUUCGGCUCGUAAAGCUCUGUUGUUAAAGAAGAACACGUAUGAGAGUAACUGUUCAUACGUUGACGGUAUUUAACCAGAAAGUCACGGCUAACUACGUGCCAGCAGCCGCGGUAAUACGUAGGUGGCAAGCGUUAUCCGGAUUUAUUGGGCGUAAAGAGAGUGCAGGCGGUUUUCUAAGUCUGAUGUGAAAGCCUUCGGCUUAACCGGAGAAGUGCAUCGGAAACUGGAUAACUUGAGUGCAGAAGAGGGUAGUGGAACUCCAUGUGUAGCGGUGGAAUGCGUAGAUAUAUGGAAGAACACCAGUGGCGAAGGCGGCUACCUGGUCUGCAACUGACGCUGAGACUCGAAAGCAUGGGUAGCGAACAGGAUUAGAUACCCUGGUA